This is an RNA transcript of Octodon degus (degu), 560 nucleotides long. It is a transcript of the gene named peptidyl-prolyl cis-trans isomerase A pseudogene, with no coding region annotated. Lineage: Eukaryota; Metazoa; Chordata; Mammalia; Rodentia; Octodontidae. The transcript has a single exon. The record is from RefSeq and is a predicted model, not a curated record.
GAUUUGGUUAUAAGGGUUCCUGCUUUCACAGAAUUAUUCCAGGAUUUAUGUGCCAGGGUGGUGACUUCACGCGCCACAAUGGCCCUGGCGGCAAGUCCAUCUAUGGGGAGAAAUUUGAUGAUGAGAACUUCAUCCUGAAGCACACAGGCCCGGGCAUCUUGUCCAUGGCAAAUGCUGGGCCAAACACAAACGGGUCCCCGUUUUUCAUCUGCACUGCCAAGACUGAGUGGCUGGAUGGCAAGCACUUGGUCUUCGGGAAGGUGAAAGAGGGCAUGAACACGGUGGAGGCCAUGGAGCGCUUCGGGUCCAGGAACGGCAAGACCAGCAAGAUGAUCACCAUCACCGACUGUGGGCAGCUCUAACGCGUGUGACUUGUGUGUGUUGCCACCGCCAGACCAGACCAUUCCUCUAGCUCAGGAGAGCACCCUGUGCCCUGCCUGCUCAAAACGCACCAUCAUCUCUGCUCUUCUUGCAGUUCUUUGGGUUCCAUGUUUUCCUUGCUCCCCUCCAAAUGUACCUGGAUUGCAGAGUUAAGUUUAUGGUUAUGAAUAAAGCUAAAU